Non-coding RNA from Drosophila melanogaster (fruit fly), 873 nucleotides. The record is from Ensembl. NCBI's taxonomy places the organism in Eukaryota, Metazoa, Arthropoda, Insecta, Diptera, Drosophilidae.
GCCCUGGUUCUUCUUCAGGUUCUUCCUCUUGACGCGACCGGGACGGCCGCCGCCGAAGGGCGACUUCAGGGAGAAGUCGAUGUGCUUCUGGGAGUCCAGGCGCACGACGAACGACGGGAUGUUGACCACCUGCUUGCGGACACUGUGAAAACAAACGGAAGAAGAACACCAUAUUUGGAUUAGUUAAGCUCUGCUUUAUGAUAACCAUCGGAAUGGUGGCUGCUAUGUAUGUUGGGUUCAACAAAAAACGUUCAGUGCAACUUACGCUAGGCGGGCAUUUUGCAUUUUCGAUUGGUGUGAACGGAGUCACAUGCGCAAUCUACAGACGUUGAGAGUCGGUACAAGCAUUGGCGCCUGUUCGACUCCCAAGUGGUCUUACUGAACAGAACAGAGUUUAUAUCUGAGAGAGCCUGGCGACGAUGUUGUCGCCUGUCCAAGCGAUAUUUACCGAAUGUGACGCUGACGGAUCAGGACGCGAGCAUGAUGGAUGGACUUGGCAAGUCCCAGCUUGAACACCUGCGUCUGCAGACGACGCUCCAAGAAGUCCUCAAUCUUCAGACCCAGCACGUAAUCGAGCUUCAUGCGGGACUCGUCCAGGACACCGAUACGGACCAGACGGCGCAGCAGGGCAUUACCUGUGGGUAAAAUGGGUACACAAUCAAUGGAAGUUUCAAAAUGCAAUCGCUAGUUCUAGCGAAGAAUUCUCUUCAGUGUGUAUUUGUUAACGUCAACGUAUUUUAUCAGACAAGAAGUGUCAGAAUAUAUUUUUUAAUACAGUUCAUCAGGUCAGGGCAACUAAUUGGAUUAUGCAGUCGAACUUCCUUCGCAUAUACAUACUGUCUAGACAUUUAAACAUGCAAUUUUGCAAUAUAC